This 276-nucleotide ribosomal RNA is filed under the name uncultured bacterium. Its description in RNAcentral is "partial 16S ribosomal RNA". It matches the Rfam family "Bacterial small subunit ribosomal RNA", at positions 78 to 353 of the family's 1533-position model. The record is from RNAcentral.
UCUAAGUUUGAUGGCGACCGGCGCGCGGGUGAGUAACACGUAUCCAACCUGCCGAUGACUCGGGGAUAGCCUUUCGAAAGAAAGAUUAAUACCCGAUGGCAUAGUUCUUCCGCAUGGUGGAACUAUUAAAGAAUUUCGGUCAUCGAUGGGGAUGCGUUCCAUUAGGUUGUUGGCGGGGUAACGGCCCACCAAGCCUUCGAUGGAUAGGGGUUCUGAGAGGAAGGUCCCCCACAUUGGAACUGAGACACGGUCCAAACUCCUACGGGAGGCAGCAUG